This is a long non-coding RNA of Hyaena hyaena (striped hyena), 784 nucleotides long. RefSeq lists it as uncharacterized. The record is from RefSeq and is a predicted model, not a curated record. NCBI's taxonomy places the organism in Eukaryota, Metazoa, Chordata, Mammalia, Carnivora, Hyaenidae. The transcript is spliced from 2 exons.
ACGUCAAAACAGGGGACAAAGGGUGAGAAACAGCAGUGACGCAAGUACAAGAUCAGCAGGUGCAGCCUGGGCGUGGUCGGGGAGGAGCCCCGCCCAGCCAGGAGGGGGACGAGGCAGGACACAGGAGCGACUGCACAGCGUGUCACCUUCAAGGAGUAAGGAGGAGUUCAGGAGAAGAAAAAAGGCACAAUCACUUUUCACGUGCUCAGAAGCAAGCAGGAUGGAGAGAGCAGAUGCACAGACGGGGCUCGUGAGAGUCUGCCGAGGGGAGCAGAGCACGGGCGACACUGUCGCGCUGGGCCCAGGGGCUGCCGCGUCCUCCCAGUGCCGGAGCAGGCACGCGCAGGGGCAGAAACUGAUCAUUGUGCAACAUCUUCCCUACGGAAUGACCUUGAACACACAUCUGUCUCUUCUGGCCAGGCGCUGAAAGCAAAGGGCUUAUUUGAAGCAGGUAAAGAAUCGUCUCCACCCUCUCUCUCUCCAGCGGGAAGAACCGCGCUGGGAUGCAAAACUGCAGCGCAUCUCUCUCCCUGCCAGUCCUCGAGGAGGAAACACGGGCAGGAAUUACACUGGGAGUGUGAUACAGGAGAACUUCCUUUAAAAAACACACUCGCAGAUGGGCACAUCUGAGGGAACGAGCAGUGUUAAAAAAAAAAAUCCAACAACAACAACAAAACCCACACACGCACACUGUUGAUUGAAAUUUACCAUUUUGGAACUGUCCAAAAAUCUCUCACUGCCAGAGACAUGUCAAAAAAACAAAAUAAACUGCUGUCGCGGGCCA